UUGCGCAUGNACGAAACUCUGACGCAGCCAUGCCGCGUGCAGGAUGAAUNCCCUAUGGGUUGUAAACUGCUUUUAUACNAGAAGAAACCUUNCUACGUAGUACNAAGUUGACGGUAUUGUACAGAAUAAGCACCGGCUAACUCCGUGCCAGCAGCCGCGGUAAUACGGG
RNAcentral lists this ribosomal RNA (169 nucleotides) under uncultured Bacteroidota bacterium. RNAcentral's name for it is "uncultured Bacteroidetes bacterium partial 16S ribosomal RNA". It matches the Rfam family "Bacterial small subunit ribosomal RNA", at positions 364 to 529 of the family's 1533-position model. The record is from RNAcentral. Lineage: Bacteria; Pseudomonadati; Bacteroidota.